Molecule: long non-coding RNA, 1248 nt
Filed under: Cairina moschata (Muscovy duck)
Lineage: Eukaryota; Metazoa; Chordata; Aves; Anseriformes; Anatidae
Description: domestica (muscovy Duck (domestic type)) lncRNA (ENSCMMG00000003784.1)
Source: RNAcentral
AUCACCACUCACAACCAGCCUGCAGGCUGCCUUGAAUCCAGCACUUGGUGCCUCAAUUUCCCUUGCUAGACGAUGAAGAUGACACUGGACUCCUUUCAGGAGUAUUUUGCUGGCUUUGGCUAAAACCAGGCUAGAUAAGCCUUUGUGAACGAGUGAGGAAUGGCACCUGCAGUUUUCUAUGACAGGCAAGAUGCACACCUGGAGCUUACCACUGCCACAGUAGAAAGUAAAAAAACUUUCUAAAAUUGUCCUGGGACAGAGUUUUGUCAACCAGCAGUCCAGAGAAGUGACAACUCACGAAACACAGCUGCAGGGAGACCUCUGCAAACUCGUCUCUGUCAGCUGGCAAGAUGGGGACCUCCCCCAGCAUACUUGUGCCUGGCACACCCCGUGUCCCAUUGUGACACAAGUGUGUAGGAACUACUGCACAAAGAAUUGUCAUUAAGUAAAAACUGUGUGAUGAGGCUGAAGCCAAUCUGGUUGGUUCUGAACCGCGAUCUGCACAGAAAUAGAUGGUGACACACAGAAAUUGAGAUGAAGGAAGGAGGUCCUGGCGGCAGACAAAGUUCUUCCUGUAAAACAACUUCAGAAGGACUGUAGGAGCCUAUCCACCUUCAACAGCUGCCUCCAACUGAGUCAGAAGCACACCUGUGUAUUUCAUACCUUUUGUGACCAAAGGACUCAGAGGCAUAAAGUAUGCCACCGGAGGAAUAAUUGGAUUUCUUCAAAGCCACCAGAUAAAGCAGACCCCUCUCACAAGCUGCGCUCCUUGUCCAGCAGUAUUGAUGUGCUGCAAAGAAAACUCCGUCAUGUGCCACAGCCUCACCAAAGCAUGAAAACAGGCUUGCAGCCUGCUCUUAGAUAAGCCCCAAACAAAUCAGAAACAACAAGCGAAAACUUGAUUCAAGGUUUACUCCAGGAUGGACGUCUUGCUACGAUAAAUUAAGGUGUUUUUCAUUAUUAAAAAUAAACAAAGCAAUGAAAGUGAACCAUGUCACCAUUCAUACACUUAAAAAACAUCUUUAAUCUGCUUGGGAAAAUCUUUUUUUCUCCGUAACAGGAAAAAAUAUUAGUUGUCCAGAUAACAAGCAAAACAAAAUCAACUAAAGGGCAUCAAGAGACUUCCUGAAAUUGAAAAAACAAUGUUUUGUAUAACAAGUUAAAAAAAAAAAAGCACACAACAUACACAGCAGGCAGAAUGAUUCCUCCAGUUUCUUCAGGUUGUUCUUAGUUUCAGGAACACAAGGA